CAGCAGUCGCCGCGGGAAUACGUAGGUGGCAAGCGUUGUCCGGAAUUAUUGGGCGUAAAGGGCUCGCAGGCGGUUCCUUAAGUCUGAUGUGAAAGCCCCCGGCUCAACCGGGGAGGGUCAUUGGAAACUGGGAAACUUGAGUGCAGAAGAGGAGAGUGGAAUUCUACGUGUGGCGGUGAAAUGCGUAGAGAUGUGGAGGAACACCAGUGGCGAAGGCGACUCUCUGGUCUGUAACUGACGCUGAGGAGCGAAAGCGUGGGGAGCGAACAGGAUUAGAUACCCCAGUAGUCCCUGUCUCUUAUAC
RNAcentral lists this ribosomal RNA (304 nucleotides) under uncultured bacterium. RNAcentral's name for it is "partial 16S ribosomal RNA". It matches the Rfam family "Bacterial small subunit ribosomal RNA", at positions 509 to 807 of the family's 1533-position model. The record is from RNAcentral.